AGAGGAGCGAAUCCCACGGAGGUCUGGGGGAAACAGCAGGUGAGCAGUGAGUGCAAAGACCCCAGGCAGGAGUUGGCUGUCGGGGAGAGACAGAUUUCCUCCUUGUGCACAGAGAGGCUGUAGGAGGUCCCCAGGCACAGCAGGGCACAGCUGUCUUGUGGAUGCUGGCCCCAUGCCCUCCCCACCUGAGUAUAGACAACACCAGCCACUGGGGUGACAUGGUGCAAAGUGAAACCACACCCAUUCAGCCAUUUGCUUCUGCACUCUCGUAUACCCUGGGGGUCAUGGUGGGAGAAGCUGCCUGGUGCCCCAGGGAGAACCUUUGGGACAACCAGGUGACAUAUCUGCUCUCCUGUCCCUUCUGCUUAGAAGAGGCCGACAGGAUAAUGGAUUUGAGUCUACACGUGGACCUCAGCGUGGGGAUUUUUUGAGCUCAAAGUCAAUGGUGCAUUAAUUAAGGGGAGCAGCUGCUACCCAAGUCUUAUGAUAAAUCAGUGACAAAUGGCUGUGUUUACCUUCUUGGUGAGCAGAGCCUCUGGAAGGCAGCACAGAGCUCCUGGGUGGAUUGGCAUGCUGAGGACUGUGGGUACAGUCUCCCUCCGGGUGGAUGUCCACGCUGAGGACUGUGGGUACAGUCUCCCUCCGGGUGGAUGUCCAUGCUGAGGACUGUGGGUACAGUCUCCCUCCGGGUGGAUGUCCACGCUGAGGACUGCGGGUACAGUCUCCCUCCGGGUGGAUGUCCACGCUGAGGACUGUGGGUACAGUCUCCCUCCGGGUGGGUGUCCACGCUGAGGACUGCGGGUACAGUCUCCCUCCGGGUGGAUGUCCACGCUGAGGACUGCGGGUACAGUCUCCCUCCGGGUGGAUGUCCACGCUGAGGACUGCGGGUACAGUCUCCCUCCGGGUGGAUUGGCAUGCUGAGGACUGUGGGUACAGUCUCCCUCCGGGUGGAUGUCCAUGCUGAGGUCUGCGGGUACAGUCUCCCUCAUCCUUUUGACACAUCUUCAGUGUUGCCCGGGUCCCCAGGAGAGCUGUUCAUCACUAAGGAUAGCUAGGUCAGUCAGCAGCCUGGGGCUUUGGACGGAGCUACAGAAACACCAGGGGCUGUGUAGCUCAGGUGGUAGAAUGCUGGCCUGACAUGCACAAAGCUCUCCCAUCAGCCCCCAGCACUGUAAACACAGUGUGCACAGAGGAUCUCAGCACUUGAAGGUAGAAGGGGAGGAUGAGAAGUUCAAGGUCAGCCCGGGCUACCAGAGACGUCUCAAAACAAC
This 1271-nucleotide long non-coding RNA is filed under the name Cricetulus griseus (Chinese hamster). Its description in RNAcentral is "lncRNA (ENSCGRG00015032089.1)". Lineage: Eukaryota; Metazoa; Chordata; Mammalia; Rodentia; Cricetidae. The record is from RNAcentral.